This 320-nucleotide non-coding RNA is filed under the name Callithrix jacchus (white-tufted-ear marmoset). Lineage: Eukaryota; Metazoa; Chordata; Mammalia; Primates; Cebidae. The record is from RNAcentral.
GCUGAGUGUGGUGGUGCAUGCCUGUAAUCCCAGCUACAUGGGAGGCUGAGGCAGGAGAAUUACUUGAACCCAGGAGUCAGAGGCUGCAGUGAGCUGAGAUCAUGUCACUGCACUCCAGCCUGGGUGAUAGAUUGAGACUAUCUCAAAAAAAGAAGAAAAGAAAAGAUUCUCAGGAUGUCAGUGUGUACUACUUUCUGUUUUUAUUUUUGUUUUUUGUUUUUGAGACAGUCUUGUUCUGUCACCCAGGCUGGAGUGCAGUGGUGCUAUCUCAGCUCACUGCAACCUCCGCCUCCUGGGUUCAAGCAAUUCUCUUGCCUCAG